This 76-nucleotide transfer RNA is filed under the name Alphaproteobacteria bacterium. RNAcentral's name for it is "tRNA-Lys". It matches the Rfam family "tRNA". Rfam says of the family: Transfer RNA (tRNA) molecules are approximately 80 nucleotides in length. Their secondary structure includes four short double-helical elements and three loops (D, anti-codon, and T loops). Further hydrogen bonds mediate the characteristic L-shaped molecular structure. tRNAs have two regions of fundamental functional importance: the anti-codon, which is responsible for specific mRNA codon recognition, and the 3' end, to which the tRNAs corresponding amino acid is attached (by aminoacyl-tRNA synthetases). tRNAs cope with the degeneracy of the genetic code in two manners: having more than one tRNA (with a specific anti-codon) for a particular amino acid; and 'wobble' base-pairing, i.e. permitting non-standard base-pairing at the 3rd anti-codon position. The record is from RNAcentral. Lineage: Bacteria; Pseudomonadati; Pseudomonadota; Alphaproteobacteria. RNAcentral also lists the same sequence under 1 other name.
GGGCGCGUAGCUCAGUUGGCAGAGCAUCUGACUUUUAAUCAGAGGGUCCCAGGUUCGAUUCCUGGCGCGCCUACCA